Molecule: microRNA precursor, 220 nt
Filed under: Prunus dulcis (almond)
Lineage: Eukaryota; Viridiplantae; Streptophyta; Magnoliopsida; Rosales; Rosaceae
Description: sRNA ncRNA
Source: RNAcentral
GGGCUUUGAGGAGAGAGAGAGAGAGAGAGAGAGAGGUGGGUGUGAUAUGCAGAAAUGGAGAUGUGGGUUGGGAUUAUUUUAAUUGGUCACAAGGGAGAGUGAACAGUAGGGCUCUGCUGUCUGUGUCUCAGUGUCUCUGAGCAUUGGGAUUCUCCAUGCCAUCUCUUCUUACACACACACACACUCUCUCUCUUCUCUCUCUUCUCUCUCUUUCAUCUGU